This 133-nucleotide ribosomal RNA is filed under the name uncultured bacterium. Its description in RNAcentral is "partial 16S ribosomal RNA". The record is from RNAcentral.
UAGGUACCGUCAAUGCCGGAGGUAUUAGCUCCGGGUUUUUCUUUCCUAAUAAAAGUGCUUUACAACCCACAGGCCUUCUUCACACACGCGGCAUUGCUGCAUCAGGCUUGCGCCCAUUGUGCAAUAUUCCCCA